Molecule: transfer RNA, 89 nt
Filed under: Corynebacterium provencense
Lineage: Bacteria; Bacillati; Actinomycetota; Actinomycetes; Mycobacteriales; Corynebacteriaceae
Description: tRNA-Ser
Source: RNAcentral
ACGGUCGUCGGACAGGUUCUCCAGGGUGGGGCGGGCCAGAAUCCCGCCCGCCAGACCGCCGUGGGUGCGGGUGUCCCGAUGACCGUCCC